RNAcentral lists this ribosomal RNA (253 nucleotides) under uncultured bacterium. RNAcentral describes it as "partial 16S ribosomal RNA". It matches the Rfam family "Bacterial small subunit ribosomal RNA", at positions 524 to 776 of the family's 1533-position model. The record is from RNAcentral.
UACGUAGGGUGCGAGCGUUAAUCGGAAUUACUGGGCGUAAAGGGUGCGUAGGCGGUCGCGCAAGUCGGAUGUGAAAUCUCAGGGCUCAACCCUGAAACUGCAUUCGAUACUGCGUGGCUAGAGUGCUGGAGAGGAGACUGGAAUUUACGGUGUAGCAGUGAAAUGCGUAGAUAUCGUAAGGAAGACCAGUGGCGAAGGCGAGUCUCUGGACAGCAACUGACGCUGAGGCACGAAGGCCAGGGGAGCAAACGGG